CUGAAUACAAGUGGGCCCAGUGAUUAAAUCAGGCCAAGGGCCUUAUUCAGAACCCAAUUAAACAUCGGGCCUGAAUGCAAAUGGGCCCAGACCUGAACCAGAGGGCAAUUUGGUUAAACCAGAAGUGGAAUUGGUUCAGACCUGCACCAGAAGCUGGAUCAGAUCUGAACCAGAAGCUGAAUCAGAUCUGAACCAGAAGCUAAAUUAGACCAGAACCAGAAAUUGAAUUGGGCCAUGGGCUUGAACCAGAAAUUGAAUUAGGCUAUGGACCCGAAAAUGAAAUUGAGUCCUAUGGAUGGGCUGUAAAUGACUUUAAGAUUAUAAAUAAAUAGAAAUUAAAUGU
Molecule: long non-coding RNA, 343 nt
Filed under: Phoenix dactylifera (date palm)
Lineage: Eukaryota; Viridiplantae; Streptophyta; Magnoliopsida; Arecales; Arecaceae
Description: long non-coding RNA (PDAC_LNC004205)
Source: RNAcentral